UAAUACGUAGGGUGCGAGCGUUGUCCGGAAUUAUUGGGCGUAAAGAGCUCGUAGGCGGCCUGUUGCGUCUGCUGUGAAAGCCCGGGGCUUAACCCCGGGUCUGCAGUGGAUACGGGCAGGCUAGAGUUCGGCAGGGGAGACUGGAAUUCCUGGUGUAGCGGUGAAAUGCGCAGAUAUCAGGAGGAACACCGGUGGCGAAGGCGGGUCUCUGGGCCGAUACUGACGCUGAGGAGCGAAAGCGUGGGGAGCAAACAGGAUUAGAUACCCUGGUAGUCCACGCCGUAAACGUUGGGCGCUAGGUGUGGGGUCCCUUCCACGGGUUCCGUGCCGUAGCUAACGCAUUAAGCGCCCCGCCUGGGGAGUACGGCCGCAAGGCUA
Molecule: ribosomal RNA, 378 nt
Filed under: uncultured bacterium
Lineage: Bacteria
Description: bacterial SSU rRNA
Rfam family: Bacterial small subunit ribosomal RNA
Source: RNAcentral